Molecule: ribosomal RNA, 253 nt
Filed under: uncultured bacterium
Lineage: Bacteria
Description: partial 16S ribosomal RNA
Rfam family: Bacterial small subunit ribosomal RNA
Source: RNAcentral
UACGUAGGGGGCAAGCGUUGUCCGGAUUUAUUGGGCGUAAAGAGCGUGUAGGCGGCCAGGUAGGUCUGCUGUGAAAACUCGAGGCUUAACCUCGAGAUGUCGGCGGAAACCAUCUGGCUAGAGUCCGGAAGAGGAGAGUGGAAUUCCGGGUGUAGUGGUGGAAUGCGUAGAGAUCCGGAGGAACACCAGCGGCGAAGGCGGCAUCCUGGACUGGUCCUGACACUCAGGAGCGAAAGCGUGGGGAGCGAUCCGG